RNAcentral lists this ribosomal RNA (395 nucleotides) under Escherichia coli. RNAcentral's name for it is "bacterial SSU rRNA". It matches the Rfam family "Bacterial small subunit ribosomal RNA", at positions 383 to 770 of the family's 1533-position model. The record is from RNAcentral. Lineage: Bacteria; Pseudomonadati; Pseudomonadota; Gammaproteobacteria; Enterobacterales; Enterobacteriaceae.
CUGAUGCAGCCAUGCCGCGUGUAUGAAGAAGGCCUUCGGGUUGUAAAGUACUUUCAGCGGGGAGGAAGGGAGUAAAGUUAAUACCUUUGCUCAUUGACGUUACCCGCAGAAGAAGCACCGGCUAACUCCGUGCCAGCAGCCGCGGUAAUACGGAGGGUGCAAGCGUUAAUCGGAAUUACUGGGCGUAAAGCGCACGCAGGCGGUUUGUUAAGUCAGAUGUGAAAUCCCCGGGCUCAACCUGGGAACUGCAUCUGAUACUGGCAAGCUUGAGUCUCGUAGAGGGGGGUAGAAUUCCAGGUGUAGCGGUGAAAUGCGUAGAGAUCUGGAGGAAUACCGGUGGCGAAGGCGGCCCCCUGGACGAAGACUGACGCUCACGUGCGAAAGCGUGUGGGGAG